Molecule: ribosomal RNA, 245 nt
Filed under: uncultured bacterium
Lineage: Bacteria
Description: partial 16S ribosomal RNA
Rfam family: Bacterial small subunit ribosomal RNA
Source: RNAcentral
UACGUAGGAGGCGAACGUUAUUCGGAUUUAUUGGGCGUAAAGCGGGUGUAGACGGCUUUUUAAGUCGGUUGUCAAAUCUCCUGACUCAAUUAGGAGGAGCCAAUCGAUACUGAGAAGCUUGAGGACAGCAGAAGAAAGUGGAAUUCCCGGUGUAGCGGUGAUAUGCGUAGAUAUCGGGAGGAAUACCAGUGGCGAAGGCGGCUUUCUAGGUUGUUCCUGACGUUGAUGCCCAAAAGCGUGGGGAG